UCACGAUGGCAACCAUACGCUACAUUGUCCACGAUAAGGCUUUCACCCAGCUGGUCAUUUCCGAGAAAAGUGUGAAUUUCUUUGGUGUACAACAAAAACCUACAAAUACAUGUGAGCCGCAACAAGCUGCCGAGGUACUCUCUUUGGACCAUCACGAUGGUAUGCUUCAAGACGUCUCGCGAUUCAUGCUGUGGUCAUUUCUUGCCAUCAUCAUGGCAACCUGGCUGUGGCGUCAGUAUUACCAGCAUGCGAUGGAUGCACGCAGCAAACUGCCCCUCCCACCAGGGUCCAUGGGCUUUCCAUUGGUGGGCGAGACACUCUCAUUAAUAACUAAAGGCUCUGACUACUACCUAUCUCGGCGGCAACAGUACGGAAACGUAUACAAGACCCACCUUCUGGGACAGCCCACCAUCAGAAUCAUCGGAGCUGAUAAUGUACGCCAUAUUUUGAUGGGGGAGCACGUCAAUGUUGAGGCCAGUCAGCCAAGAUCUCUCCAACGUCUGCUGGGACCAGGUGGACUAACAAAUGCAAGUCCUGACAGUCACAGGAUCAGGAAGAAGCUACUCCUCCGGGCUUUGGCUCCUGCAGCUAUACAAGGACAUGUUCCAACAAUUCAAAAACUUGUAAGAAACCAUAUUUUGGACUGGUGCAGCAAAGGGCAACAAUUCGGAACAGAUAUUUGCAAACGCUUGGCAAUGUCACUUGCUGCCAACGUCCUUAUUGGAUUUGACGUUGAUGAUCAGAACCUGCAGUCAAUAAUCAGCUCCUUCCAGACUUUCACGGGCAACUUGUUUUCACUGCCAUGGGAACUGCCUGGAUCAGGAUUGUCCAAGGGUCUAAGAGCACGAGAACAGCUGAUAAAGGAAAUUAAGAAAAGACUUCACAGGGAGACACAACAGUGGUCCCUCGUUGAUGAACUGAAGAAUCUUGAUGAAACGGCUGCCUCACUCACCGCAGACGAAAUGACAGACGCAGUCUUAGAACUAUGGUUUGCAGGAAAUGAUACCAGUUCAAGCACGGCAAAUUCAACACUACUGGCUUUAGGUAAAGAUGAUGGAGUUCGAAAACAAAUCGAAGAAGAACUGGAAGAGAAUGGACUAUUAAGUUCUGAAGAAGAGCUGACUUUUGACAGUUUAAAGAAACUGACCUACGUUGAUCACGUGGUGAAGGAGGUGCUCAGAGUGUAUCCCCCUGUUGGUGGUGGAUUCAGGAAGGUUAAGAAAACAAUGGAGAUUGAGGGCUACCAGAUUCCAGAGGGCUGGACUGUGAUCUACAGCAUACGAGACACGCAUCAAACAACCAAACUCUUUGACGACAAGGAGGAAUUCAAACCUGAACGCUGGAAUGAAAUGGACGAAAAGACACGUGUGAGUGGCCAACGAUUCAACUACAUUCCUUUUGGAGCAGGUGCUCGUGCAUGUCCAGGCGAAAGGUUUGCCAGGAUGUUUGUGAAAAUCUUUAUUGUGGAACUCAUAAGGACAUGUACAUGGGAACUCAAGAACAAAAGUCCUAAGAUUACCUACUUUCCAGUAACAAAACCUUCAGAUAAUCUCCCUGUGACCUUUCACCUUCGUAAGGAUGUUAACAAGAAUGUGCAACAGAACGUCUAGAUGUCCUUCAGUGGACAAAGAUGAUGGAGUUCGAAAACAAAUCGAAGAUGAACUGGAAGAGAAUGGACUAUUGAGUUCUGAAGACGAGCUGACUCUUGACAGUUUAAAGAAACUGAACUAAGUUGAUCACGUGGUGAAGGAGGUGCUCAGAGUGUAUCCCCCUGUUGGUGGUGGAUUCAGGAAGGUUAAGAAAACAAUGGAGAUUGAGGGCUACCAGAUUCCAGAGGGCUGGACUGUGAUCUACAGCAAACGAGGAAUUCAAACCUGAACGCUGGAAUGAAAUGGACGAAAAGACACACUUGAGUGGCCAACGAUUCAACUACAUUCCUUUUGGAGCAGGUGCUCGUGCAUGUCCAGGCGAAAGGUUUGCCAGGAUGUUUGUGAAAAUCUUUAUUGUGGACAUGUACAUGGGAACUCAAGAACAAAAGUCCUAAGAUUACCUACUCUCAAGUAACAAAACCUUCAGAUAAUCUCCCUGUGACCUUUCACCAUUCACAAGGAUGUUAACAAGAAUGUGCAACAGAACGUCUAGAUGUCCUUCAAUGGACAAACUUGGGAGCUUGCAACGCCAAUUCACAGCUGGAACUGUGUAAAGGGCUUUUGAAUUAAAGAGACCUCCAGAGACAUGCUUACCACAAGUAUUGAUGGUGUACAGAGAGUUUAAGCCAUCAGGAAGUUGUAACCACAUAUUAUAUAUCUGACACUCCUCCCAAAACUUUAUCUGCGAACUAGAUUGUUUGGACACUUGUUGCGUUGACACACGCCCUAAAAGAACAUAGUGGUGCAACGAGGUGGACCAUUUAGUGAGUGUUGAGUAAGCUGUGUUAUACUGUGUAAGUUGUGAUGAUAUGAUUCCAUUUUCUAUAGUUUCAAGUUCCUAUAUUUUGACAGAUGCCUAGCCCUUAGUCAGCUUUCGUUUCGCAUUAAUGAUUAAGGGGAAGGCAUUUCCAACAUACCGAGAUCUUCAGAUUACCAAAAGAAAUUAAACAAAAAAUAUAUAUGUAGUUAUCAAGUGAAUACGUUGAGAACAACUGACAAGAGAUACUUGAUUUGCUCUUCCGUGUGUUUGUGUCGGUGUCACCGGUUGGCCAUGUCCUACAGUUAUGGAUAUGGGUGUUGUGGCAUUUAUUCAAAGCAGGGAAUGGUAUCGUUUCCAAUAUUUUGGUAACUGAUUAGUGUCCAACGUGCUAAAGACUAACUUUUGUGAUAACCUACAAGUUUCAGACUAAGUGGGCCAGUCAUCAUAUGCCUGAGUGAUCAAGCUUGAGUUGUAGAUACUCUUGAGAUACACUGAUGGCAAUAGUAGAUGUAUACCAUGUAUAUGUCAUAUAUGUAAACGACUGCAUACACUACCAUGUAGUGUCCUGUUUUUGUCAUGUUGAUCAUGCAAAGAAUGUUAACUUGUUACAUCAGUAACAGGCCUUGUGCCUUGUACAAAAAGAGUGUAAAUAUAUAAGUUAUUUCUACAAUAAUGAUACAUCAUUGCAUGAUUGAAAUAAACUUUUGAACUUAU
Molecule: RNA transcript, 3123 nt
Organism: Haliotis rubra (blacklip abalone)
Lineage: Eukaryota; Metazoa; Mollusca; Gastropoda; Lepetellida; Haliotidae
Gene name: cytochrome P450 26B1-like
Exons: 6
Source: RefSeq, a predicted model, not a curated record